GCAUUGGUUGUUCAGUGGUAGAAUUCUCGCCUUCCAUGUGGGAGACCCGGGUUUGAUUCCUGCCCAAUGCA
Molecule: transfer RNA, 71 nt
Organism: Loxodonta africana (African savanna elephant)
Lineage: Eukaryota; Metazoa; Chordata; Mammalia; Proboscidea; Elephantidae
Rfam family: tRNA
About the family: Transfer RNA (tRNA) molecules are approximately 80 nucleotides in length.
Source: Rfam